CAAGCAUCAUAUCGCCCUCAGCCUUCUCCUUCUCUGUCUCUCCCACUAAAACAGGGACACUGAUUAAACACCAAGUCAUGUGUAUAUAGGGGUGAGUGGCUGGGUGAGUUUAGUUUUACGCCGC
Haliotis rubra (blacklip abalone) is the source of this 124-nucleotide long non-coding RNA. RefSeq lists it as uncharacterized. The transcript is spliced from 3 exons. Lineage: Eukaryota; Metazoa; Mollusca; Gastropoda; Lepetellida; Haliotidae. The record is from RefSeq and is a predicted model, not a curated record.